GUGGAUUAUAGACAGUUCCAUCUACUACAGUGCUGUCUCCCAUGGAGGAAGAAGAGGAUUGAUUUUCACAUAAGGAAAUAGAGGGUCUUAGAGAGAAAUUCCACCGGAGCAAGAGAGAUGUAGACCUGAAGGGAUCAAAAACUUUUUCACGAGGCCUCCCUUCAUUAGGGAGUGCGAAUAGAUAAUGAUUCAAUGGAGUGCCAGAAUCACAG
Molecule: unclassified non-coding RNA, 212 nt
Filed under: Hevea brasiliensis (rubber tree)
Lineage: Eukaryota; Viridiplantae; Streptophyta; Magnoliopsida; Malpighiales; Euphorbiaceae
Source: RNAcentral